Molecule: ribosomal RNA, 477 nt
Filed under: uncultured bacterium
Lineage: Bacteria
Description: bacterial SSU rRNA
Rfam family: Bacterial small subunit ribosomal RNA
Source: RNAcentral
GAUGAACGCUAGCGGGAGGCCUAACACAUGCAAGCCGAGCGGUAUUGUUUCUUCGGAAAUGAGAGAGCGGCGUACGGUGCGGACACGUGUGCAACCUGCCUUUAUCUGGGGGAUAGCCUUUCGAAAGGAAGAUUAAUACUCCAUAAUAUAUUGAACGGCAUCGUUUAAUAUUGAAAGCUCCGGCGGAUAGAGAUGGGCACGCGCAAGAUUAGCUAGUUGGUGAGGUAACGGCUCACCAAGGCAAUGAUCUUUAGGGGGCCUGAGAGGGUGAUCCCCCACACUGGUACUGAGACACGGACCAGACUCCUACGGGAGGCAGCAGUGAGGAAUAUUGGUCAAUGGGUGCAAGCCUGAACCAGCCAUCCCGCGUGAAGGACGACUGCCCUAUGGGUUGUAAACUUCUUUUGUAUAGGGAUAAACCUACCCUCGUGAGGGUAGCUGAAGGUACUAUACGAAUAAGCACCGGCUAACUCCGUG